GACGGAGGGUGCUAGCGUUGUUCGGAAUCACUGGGCGUAAAGGGCGCGCAGGCGGCCCCUCGCGUCGGACGUGAAAGCCCGGGGCUCAACCCCGGAACGGCGUCCGAUACGGGGGGCUCGGAGGCCGGGAGAGGGGGGUGGAAUGACCCAGUGUAGAGGGUGAAAUUCGUAGAUAUUGGGUGGAACACCGGUGGCGAAGGCAGGUCUCUGGGCUGUAACUGACGCUGAGGAGCGAAAGCAUGGGGAGCGAAC
RNAcentral lists this ribosomal RNA (252 nucleotides) under uncultured bacterium. RNAcentral describes it as "partial 16S ribosomal RNA". It matches the Rfam family "Bacterial small subunit ribosomal RNA", at positions 524 to 773 of the family's 1533-position model. The record is from RNAcentral.